This 253-nucleotide ribosomal RNA is filed under the name uncultured bacterium. RNAcentral describes it as "partial 16S ribosomal RNA". It matches the Rfam family "Bacterial small subunit ribosomal RNA", at positions 524 to 776 of the family's 1533-position model. The record is from RNAcentral.
UACGGGGGGGGCAAGCGUUGUUCGGAAUUACUGGGCGUAAAGGGUUCGUAGGUGGCCAACUAAGUCAGACGUGAAAUCCCUCAGCUUAACUGGGGAACUGCGUCUGAUACUGGUUGGCUUGAGUGCAGGAGAGGAACGCGGAAUUCCAGGUGUAGCGGUGAAAUGCGUAGAUAUCUGGAGGAACACCGGUGGCGAAGGCGGUUCUCUGGGCCUUACCUGACGCUGAGGAGCGAAAGCGUGGGGAGCGAACAGG